GUCAAAAACAAUGUGUCAAUGCUUAACCUUGUGUGUGAGCGAGGAGGUCAGGAUUCUGUGGAAGGGAGUACUACCGUUGGCCAGAUGGGGGUGCUACAAUGCCAGGGAUCCAGUGAGCCAGCCUGCAAUAGUGGACCCAGCUCCCCUGAUCCGGUUCCUCCAAGCAGGGAUGCAGACAAAGAGUUUGACGGGGUGCAAUGUCUGUUUUUGUUAUUUUAGCACUUUGUUUUUUUAGCUUCAGACUGAGAAAUGGUUGAGAAGUUGAGUGAAUUUCUCCAUUCGUUCAGCAACUGCGUACAUUAAGCGGGCAUCAAUCAAGCACAAAGGGAAGACUUGAGCAUGUAUAAAUGUGUGUGUGUUUACCAAGCUAUUUCAUACAGGCAUGAUGAAAAUAUGAAAUGCUUUGUCUUCAUAGCAAAGCUUUAUCAAAACAACUACUGCAGAGGAUUUUGGACUUUAAAAUCCCCAUUCACCUGCCACCAACUGGAGCAGCUACUGCUCCUGAGCGUGCAUACAAGAUAGAGAACAUGAUGUGAUGACACAAAGCAAUGUGUAUCCUACCUGAACUGCUUCAGUCCUGUACUGGCACAAGACGGGGGUCAUCUUACCAACAGUGGUUUCAUUAUUCUCACCAGCCAUGGCUGCACGUCUGUUCCCCGUCUCAAACACAUACAGUAUCCUCUGUGAACCCCGCAUCCCUUCCCAGACCUUUUUAUUCAACCAAAAGUUUGAUAUUAUAAUACGUGCUAAAUCUAUGUUGUUAAAUCCAAACAUCAGUGACAGUCAGAAUGGAGAAGAAAUGUAUGUUAGCUAUUGUCGAAUCGUACGGAAGAAUACAUUUCCCUUUUGGAAAAGAGAAAGUGCAGGAAUGAAAGAGAACAGGGCAUGAUUUCUGUAUGAGAUGGGACAGCACUUGACAUGUAUUAUCUAAAGUAUGGAGAAUUAAAAAAGAGAAAAGAGAGAGGCAGUAGCUGGCUGUCUACUCAAUGACACAUUUAAAACAGCGUUAGAUCCAUCUGUUUUAAGGGGUACAUGGGUCUUUGUGGUCAAUUCCCUAAAUUAUCUUAGAAUCUGCGGUUGAUAAUAUCAAACUGUUUUAAAUGAAACAUAAAAUAUCUCUAUCAGCUUUUUGGCUAUAAAGCACAGACAGACAGAACGCGCCACCAGUGAUGACACAGCC
Esox lucius (northern pike) is the source of this 1180-nucleotide long non-coding RNA. The record is from Ensembl. Lineage: Eukaryota; Metazoa; Chordata; Actinopteri; Esociformes; Esocidae.